Molecule: ribosomal RNA, 253 nt
Filed under: uncultured bacterium
Lineage: Bacteria
Description: partial 16S ribosomal RNA
Rfam family: Bacterial small subunit ribosomal RNA
Source: RNAcentral
UACGUAGGGGGCAAGCGUUGUCCGGAAUUAUUGGGCGUAAAGAGCGUGUAGGCGGUCCGGUAAGUCAGCUGUGAAAGUCAAGGGCUCAACCCUUGAAUGCCGGUUGAUACUGUCGGGCUAGAGUCCGGAAGAGGCGAGUGGAAUUCCCGGUGUAGCGGUGAGAUGCGCAGAUAUCGGGAGGAACACCAAUGGCGAAGGCAGCUCGCUGGGACGGUACUGACGCUGAGACGCGAAAGCGUGGGGAGCAAACAGG